AGGGGUCUAUUCGUCAGUCAAAACGUUAAUCUUGAAGGAGCAAAGGUUUGUUCAUGAGCUGUCAUGCUCCCUAGGCGAAGCCCACGUGUUUUAAAAAAACGGAAAAAAAAACGGAAAAAAAAAGAAAGAAAAAAAACGGAAAACGAAAAAAAAACGAAAAACGAAAAAAAAACGGAAAAAAAAACGAAAAAAAAACGAAAAACGAAAAUAAAAAAAUAAAAAAAUAAAAAUAAAAAUAUAAAUAAAUAAAUAAAUAAAUAAAAGAAAAAAUCUUGGACUUGG
This 282-nucleotide long non-coding RNA is filed under the name Lathyrus oleraceus (garden pea). Its description in RNAcentral is "Pisum sativum (pea) long non-coding RNA (PSAT_LNC007961)". Lineage: Eukaryota; Viridiplantae; Streptophyta; Magnoliopsida; Fabales; Fabaceae. The record is from RNAcentral.